ACAUGGAGGUUAAUUGUUGCCUAAGGAAAGAACACUCCAGUUUUUUACCAUCUGCCCUGACUCAUAGCUUCUUGGUGACAGCAAUCAGCAAGGGCAGUAGGGGUCAGGGUCUGGUCGGAGGCCAAUUUUAGAACUGAGGGCCAGAUGGGUGAUUGGGGUCAGGGGCUGGAGGAAGCAGUAUCAGCAACGCCAGAGUUAGCAACGAGGAAUGAAGUCCAGCAGGAGAUUGUCCUAGACUACAUGAAACAAUCAAACAAGUAGAAAGAGAACCAAGAGAGGACAGUGUCACAAAAACCAAAAAAGCAGAUGACAACCAGCAAUGUUAAAUGACACAAAAGAAAUCAAGAAGGACAUGGAUCAAGAAAUAGCUAUUCGAUUUGGAAAUAAAGAGAUCACCAGUAACUUUGCAGAGAAUACUUUUAUACUUUAUAAAAAGGUAUCACUUAAACUAAGACUCAAAAGGAAAUGAAACUCUAGGCCCUAGUCUAGGGGGCCAAGGAAAGGAAGGAGUACAUUGCAAAUAUGGGAACAAACAUGGUAAAGGUACAGGGAUGAGUCAAAAAUAGGAAGAAAAAGACACACCGGUUGUAUAUAUGAAAGGGAGCAACAUGUAAUAAAGCUAGAAAGGGAGGUAAGAACUACGUUGUGAAGUGUUUUAAAAGUCUGAGAUUAUAUUUGAUCAAAUUAGUUUACAGGGCAGCUAUGGUUGUUAAAAUAGGUAAGAUGACACAUAUCCUUGAUUAAGGAAAAUUAUUUUGGCAACUGUGUAGAGGAUUGACUAAAGAGGGGACUUGAGAAUGGGAAAUCAAUUAUAAGGAUAUCAUAAUAUUCUAGUUAAGAGGUGAGUACAGAAAAGAAAAGGCCAUAUUUGAGAGUUGUGAAGAUGGAAAUAACAAAAUUUAACAAUGGAUUUGAAAUGUGGGAUGAGUGAGGAUUCAAGGAUGACACCAAUGUCACCAGCCAAGAUGAAUAGGAAGAUGGUGGUACACUGACAGAAUCCCACAAUCCUGAAUGGUGAAUACAUGAAUAUAAAUUCACACAUACCAACUAUUCACAUACAGCUACAGCUAUGCUUCACAUUCCAUCCUGGCCAACUUUUGGUCAACCUCCAAAUGCCGUAUCCUAUCACCUCAUUUCCACCUCUAACUCUAGAAGCACAAUCAAAUCAAUAUUGCCAUUAUUAGAAAUGCUGUCAAUUAACUCUUCGUUUGAUUUUCCUUAUGAAAACAUACAUCCUUGGAUACAACUUCUGUGUGUGUGUUAGUAUCUACCCCUAUUAGGAUAUGAGCACCUUGCAAAGGCAGAGAUAUCACACACUUCUCCAUUUGUAUUCCCAAUAUUUGUCAAAGGAAUAGGCAUAUUCUAAGUGAAUACAUGUUUUUGGUUUUGUUUAUUCUAAGAGUUGGGCUAUUUCUACCUUUGGAGGAAUAAAAAGCAAGAUUUGACAACUAUCUGGAUAUGAAAGAUGAGAAGCAGUAAGGAGUUAUGGAUGUUGAAAUUGAAAACCUAGUGGUAUCACCAGCCAUGGCAAUAGCAGAUCAGGAGAAGACAGAUAAGUAAUAAACACUAAAAAGUCCACUAACCAUUCUCCAAAUAAAGACAGAAGAACAAAAAUGCCUCAAAAUGAAUAUUAGAGAAGCAGAACCAACAGAAGAAGUACUGAAGCAGUGCUCUGACCCCAAAGAUGUUAAGAGAGCAAAAAGGACUCAUCUUAUUGAGGUACGAGAAAGGAGUGCUGAACAAGCCUCUGUGGAACUCGGCUGAAACAGACCACUAGCAGCAGGGGAGAGAACACAACCAGCUAGGUCCUGCCUCAGUAGGGGAAAAGUAGAAACCAAUGAAACAAGUAGCAGUGGGAAGAAAGCAGCCCUGCAUAAUCCAGACAGAAGAGAUUGGGCACAACCCAGCAUAGUCAGCAGUAGCAGAGCUCAGCUCAAAAAGGUCUAGACUCAGUGGGAUUGGGUAGAACCCAAUUCCAACCAGAUGAACUUAACAGCAGCUACAAAUCUCCAUACAACAGGCCAAGCAGGCUGCCUCUCUCUAUUGCUCAAUCGUGAAGCCAAGACUGCUGACCCAACCUCAGGCACAGUACAACCAUGGGGCAAUACUCCUUCCACCCCAGGAACAGAGAUAAGCUUCAGUAUAGACAAAAUCAAAGGGAAAAAAUAACCCUCAAAUGCACAAUAGAGGAAAAAGUAUGACACUAGAAAAAUAUCUCGACAAGAGAAAUAACCAAAAUAAAAGCCCAGAAAAAGAAAGCAAUACAAAAAUAAAAACAUGUAAAAUGAAAGUCUCAAAGGGAAAUGUAAAAAUAUGUCAAGCCCAAAGCGAACCUUUGGAAGAACUCCAAAAAGGAGAAAAACAAAUAAUAAGAAACUUAGAAAAACAAUUAGAAAAGAAAAUGAUUGAAAAAAAUCUGCAAAAACUUAUGGAACAAAGUAGUUCCUUAGAACUUGAAACGUACUGAACAAAAACUUACUGAAAAAAGUAGUUUCCCUAAAAAAGGAAAUGCAAUUCCUUAAAAAGAUAAAAAUAACUCACUUAUUAAAAGUCACUUAACCCCCAUUGCCUAGCCCUUACCACUCUUCUGCCUAGGAACCAAUACAUACUAUUGAUUCUAAAGUGAAAGGUAAAAAAAAAAGGGGGGGGACUCAAGGAAAUCAACAGUCAAACUAAUCACAUCCCUAUGUAAGAUUUCUACAAUACAACAGAGAUCUAAAAUACUUAAUUAAAAUACUUAAAGCAAUCAAGGGAAACAAUGAGGUUAAACUGAUUACAUUCCUUGCAUGGGGAAAUGAUAACUAGAAUACUUAAAUAUUUAAAAUACUUGUGAUAUUUUUAAGAUAAUUAAGGGAACAGAUGGGGUUAAAAUGAUUACAUUACUAGUAAGAAGGUGACAACUAAGAUGCUUGAGAUAUUUAUGAUGCUUGAAGUAUCUAAGAUACCUAACUUGUACUUAGGGUACUUAUGGUACUUAAAAUAUUUUAGAAUUUUUAACACUAAUGAAGCAAUGAAUAGGUAUAUACAUAGAGAGUAGGGAAUAAGUUGAACAUAAUGGGAUUUUUUAUUUAAAUCAAGGUAUAAGAAAGAAUAAUAUACUGAGAAAAGAGAAAGUUGGGGGUAAAUUAUCUCACAUAAGGAGGCAUGAAAGAAUCAACACAGUAGAAGGGAAGAUGGGGUGUCAGGCAAUGCUUGAAUUUUAUUCUCAUGGUAAUUGGCAUAAAAUGGGAAUAAUAUCCACACUCAGAGAUAAAAAUCUCUCUUAUCUGUAAGAAAUAAAAUUUAGGACUCUGGUCCUUAAUUUCCAUAAAGUUUAUUAGUAUUUACUUUGAUAGGUAGAGGGAGAGAAUUAGAGAAAAACCUGUUCUUUUUAGCAACAUGGGUGCUCUCAACAUGGCUCCCUCAACCACCUUUCCCUUGGCCAAUUCCUCCCAAGAGACCCUACUUCCUUCUCUGGAAACUUUUUUCCUCCCUCUUCCUUCAGGGUCAACUUCAAUCCUGUUCGAUUCAAAUUGUCACAGAACCUUCACUACGUGACAGAACUAGAAUCAUAAGGAUGCAGGUACCUCCUACUUCCUUUGUGGAGAAUAAAAGAAGAGAGAAGCAGGGGUUUUGGUGCCUCUUCCCAGAACCUGGGUGGAGAGCUUUGGUCUCUGCAUAACUGCCUGAAAUCAAACUUUCCUAUACUUCCCAAACUGUCCCUUUCCUAAAAUCCCAAAUAAAUCUACCUGACUUUCUACCGAGUCUAGUUUUGAUUUGAUUUACACUCCCUAGCCUAGUUAAAAGAAGAAAGCUGGUCAACUUCCCUGCCACUAGGCAGGGGGGAGGACCCCCGGUUACUUUCCUAUCCUUCCUUUUCCCUAUCUUUUCCCUCCUUUUUUUUUCCUUUCCCUACCACAGUAGAUAGGAUGGAUUAGAGGAAGGAUGGACAGGAUGUGAGGAGACAUGAAGGCUAUUCUAAUAGUUCAGGUGGGAAGAAGUAAAAACCUGAAGUAAAGUGGAAGCAGUGAGAACAAUGGAGAAAACAGAUGAAAUAAAUUGCAAGAAGAAAAGCUCAUAGGACUUCAUUCUGAAAGAAUGUAUGAACCAAAAUUUUCCUCUAUAAACUCUGUAUUAGGAGAUUAUUUAAGAGAGAGAUGGGUUAGUAAGACUGUAAAUUGAAGUUAGAUGACUGGGAAGAUUUUUGUGUCAUUAAUAAAAUUAAAGAAGUCAGAAAGAAAAAAGGUUAGAUGAAUUCAGAUUCAUACAUUCUACGCAAGAGAUUGCAGAUUAUGUAUCUAGAGUCUGAAAGGACCUCAGAGAUCAUUUAGUCCAACUCCUUUACCCUACAGAUAUGACUCCGGGAAUUUAAAUAACUUGUCUAAGGUCAUGGAUAGUAAUAAUGAGGCAAACUACACCCUUCAGUAUAGAAAGAACUGAGGAUGUGAUUUACCAAGAUACUAUUAUGAAUGUGGAAGAUAUUAUGGAGGCAAAAUUGAUAAUACUAGAGAAAGAGAGGAGGAGGAAGAGAAAGUCAAGGAUGAGGUUCUAAAUGAAAAUCACCUAAUGGACAAUGAUGCCAUUGACACAAAUAGGCACUUAGGAAGGUUAAGUUUAAGGAAAAAGAUGAAUUUUUGUUUUGGAUGUGGAGUUUAAGAUGGCUACACAACAUCCAAUUCAAACUACUCAACAGUUAGAGAGUAACGUAGGACUGGAAUUCAGGAGAUGAAGGCUAAAUAUAUAGACUUAGGAGUUAUCUGCCUAAAGAUCAUAACUGAAUCCAUGGAAACUAAGAAAAAGUAUCCUAAGAAAAAGAGAGAAAAGGGCCUCCUGACACAGACCUGAGCUAUGUUCAUACUUGUAGCAGGAAAUGGAUAACACUUUUGCAAAGAAGACUAUGGAAUCAAAGGUAAGAACAUGAGGGAGCAGUGUCAUGAAAACUCAUAGAGAGAAUAUUCAGGAGAGGAGCCUAUGCAGCAUUGUCAAAUACUAGAGAUAGGUCAAGAAGGAUGAGGACUGAAAACCCCUAACAGUAACCAUAGUACUGAUAGAUUCUAACUUUAUAAUACACUUUUUAAGGGAAUAUUUUCCAAAUUCUAACUAGGCUCAUAAAAUUGCACAAUUCUGAAAAAAACAUAGCUCCUGGCUAUUGUUUCCCUCCACUAUUUUCCCUAUCUUUCUCUUUACCAGAUAUUAAGUGACCAAUACAUCCCCACUUUCUGAAGUCCAUUUAUUAAUUCAUGCGUUUGAUUUUACUCUAUCACUUUGAAUUUAUACUCCUUACCUAUUGUAUCUGGAACCCAAAUCUCAACCGGACUAAGUAUAAAAACUAUGCAAAACUCAAAUUGUUAAAUAUUAUGAUUAUUUAGUUGCCAUAGCUAUCAAUACCUUUACCUUAAAGUUUAAUUUUUUUCCAGCAUCCUUCAUCUAACUUCCAAACUGUGAGACUUCCAAAGUCCAAACUUUUCUUAAUUCCUAGUCUUUUCUUUCUGCCCCAAAUCUAUAAUGUUCCCAUGUGCUAUCUUCAAACUCAGUUCAGCUUCUGUGCUAUUACUGAAAUCAUCCAACACAUUUGCCAUCAGCCAAAGAUGGCUAGUCACUAAUUCAUACCAAAUAUUCCAACAGGAUGAUUGAGAAAUGUUGACAUGAUCACAUAUCCCAAUGAGUAAUAUAGCUUUCUAGUUCUAAAUCAUAUGGCAAGUGGAUUUUGAGUCUGUCAGCAACCUCCUGGCUCCACCAAAUUCUUCUCCAGUUCAACAUGUAAUUUGAGACCACAUGGAGAAUGGAGUGAAAUAGUGGCCACAAUACUGGCACAUAGCAAAACCCCCUCCUCCUUUAUUCUCUCACUACCUUUGUUCUUUCUAGCUCUUUCUUCAGUCAGGCUAGGAGCUGCUCUAUUUUGGAUACACAGAACAGCAAAAAAAAAUUUCCUCUCUUACUUUUUUCCUUUACAUCCAAACUCCAUUAUAAUAUGACACAUGGAACACACACAUGCAUAUAAAUGAAUGAGUACACCCAAAAAUGUGAAAAAAAAAGUUGAUAUUAUUAAAUAGAAUCAGAAUGAAAAACAUUGGAUAUUCGUGAAAUGGACAGAACCAAAGCCUAACAAUUCUAUGAAACAGAAAUUUUCUCUUGCUUGUUCUCUCUCUCCAUAUAUAUUUACACACAUGUUUUAUGGAGGGUUCUCUAUAACAGAGAACUUCUGCUCAAUCUACUCCCCCAAAUCCAAAACUAUUCACCAUUUUCUUUUUAUUUAACCUUUCUACCACCUUUAACAUUGAAGACUACUGAACAUUUUCUUCUUUAAAGUUCAAGAACAAUUUUUUUUUAAUUUCAAAACAAUACUAUCAAAAAAAAGAUACUUCAGAGAAAGUAUUUUUCAUUAAUGGUUUCAAAGAAGCUGGGUUAUAGGUUUAUAUUGGGAGAAUGCUUUGGAAGAGUUUCUGGCUAGUACAAGCAAGAGAAGAACAUUCAGAAAUAGAACAUAUGAUGGACAGGUGCUGAAUUGAUUGAGAAGCUGUCAGAAGAAAAAAGACUGGUGGGAAGAAUAAAAUGAACAGAUAGGAGAGAAGCCUACUCACUUGGGCUUUAACAUCUCUGUGACUUUAACCAUGCAGUUAUUCUUUGCAAUUAUCUUUCUCAUUUCAUUUUUGCUACAUUAAUAAGUUUGUGUUAUAAAAAAACAAUAACAAAACUUGUAAAGAUUUCAUCAUGCUUCCCAUUCAAAGCAAGACAUGAUGCACUAUUCAGGAAAUCACAAAGACCAAGCUGACCAAAGGACACCAAAGGGACUUUGCAGUACUAAAUUACAGAGUGAAAAAUCAGGAGGAUACAAGAGGCUAGGAGCAUAUGUGUUUGUUCCUAACUAAUAAGGAAAACUGUGCAAAAAUAAAUAAAUGGGAGUGUCUAUGUGUAUUUCUAAUGAAAUAGGAAAGCUGUUCAGAAGAAUCAAGAAGGUUAGAUCUGAAUGGUCAAGAGGAAGGAAAAUCGGUGUGUUCCCAUUACAAUUUAAAAGAUGUCUGAUACUGGUCAGGAAAAUGCAGUAUCUGUGAUAGAUAUACCAUCAUUUUAAUUGGUCCAUGAGACUUCCCAAUAAUGAUAUAUGGAAAUCUUUCCCCUGGUUCCCUGAGAAAACAGUACAUAUAUUAUAGUAAUAAAUAAUCAAAAACACAUUGAUUAAACAUUUACUAUAUGCCAAACUGUGUUAAACACUGAGCAUAUCCUCCAAAGAGCCACCAAGUGAUUUUUCCAUAGGGAGAUGUUAUUUCCCUACUCAAAUUCAAGUGGCUCCCUAUUGCCAAUAAAGUAAAAUAUUAAGUACUUUCUUUGGCUUUUCAAGUCUUUCACAAUUAAGCCCUAGCUGUAUCUUUUAAACCUCAUCAUUAUCAUUUAAACUUCAUAUAUUACUCUAUUUCUCACACUGUAUACAGUCCAGCCAAACUGGCCUCCUGUCACAUGGCAUUAGAUAUUCCAUCUCUCUACCUCUGCUCAAAAUGCAUUCCUUCCCCUUCUCUCACUUAUGCCUCAUAGAACUCCUUACUUCCAAUAAGAUGAAACUCAAGCACUACCUUCUAUAUAAAACUUUUCCUGAUCCCACAACUGCUAGUGCCUUCUCCCCUUAUCUUACAUUUAUAUGUAAUAAAAGUGCCCAAAAAGAAUGCAAUAGAACUUUUGACCCAAAAGAUUGUUUUAUUUUUGGAAUUUGUAUCCCUAGAACCUACAACAGUACCUGAGACACAGGUACUUAAAAAAACUUGUUGACUGAUUGAAAUAACCAAGGAGUUUACAUUUUAUAAUAGAAAGCAUAUAAACAAAACAUAUGAAAUAAAUAAACACAAAGUAAUUGGAGGUGGGGGGACUAGCAACUAUCAGAGAAGGCAGAAUUAGGAAAGAAAUCUCAUGUAGAAAGUAGUAGUUGAGUUGAGCUUUGAAAUCAGGGAUUAUAAGUGGCAAAGGGGAGAAGUAUAUUACAAGCACGAGAGACAUGUCCAAAGGCAUAAUCAGCAAUUUCAAUUUAAUGAGAUAUUUCAUCAUCUAACUGCAACACAGAACUACAGACACAUAAGAAGUUUUCUCAGUGCCUAAAACUUGUUUCUAUAAAUAUAAUAAAGGCAGGAAACACUAAUAUCUCACACUUGCCCUAUAUCAUUCUCUCUACUCUUUCCCAAGGAAGCUUUCACUGCCACUACUAAGUAAUUAAUAUACCAACCUAACUACCUUAAACUUUCUCUAUCUUCCAAAUCAAGAUUUCUUGAUGUUCAACUGAUCACUUCUGGGAUAUCUCCUAAUAAUCCAUCUAGGAUUAUGAAAAGUUCUUCAUUUCCUUGCCAUCCCCUUUUUUUCCUACUUGGGAUUGAGGAAUUAACUUUGAUUCUUAAUGUGACCUAUUUAUAUCCCUUAACCAGAGCUGAACUACACUGGGUCUUAUGACAAAGCACUCUAUAUAGAGUAGACUCUCUACAGCCCAUCUCCCACUGUCUCUCUCCUCUUGAAGCUCACUGAAAAUAUGGAUAACUGUCUUCCAAAGAUACUAUUGGUAGUCCCAAGAAGGCCUACUUCUGGUACCUAUCUUGUGUAUUCUGGAGGAUUUAAUCUGUCAUCAAAUAUAUUCAAUGAUCAGGAAAAAAGAUCCAUCACAAGCCAUUUAGAUAGCAUUAGAGUUACUUAUAUGGAUCUAGGAUUGCCUCUACAAGAGAUUUUUUAACACCUGAACUGGUUUCCUUUCCAUCGUAUUGUCAAAAGAAGAUAAAUAGUAUUAUCCAUCUUUACUGUCCUAAAUUCAGUUACGUCAUUUUUUCUGGAAUUCUUUAUAUGGCUGUUUUUGCCUCCAGAUUCCACACAAUCUUGAACUUUUAAAUCAAAAGACCUGUGUUUGCCACUUAACAGUUUAUCAAAGUAACAAUCAAUUUCCUCCUCUUUAAGACAGGCCUGAUGUCAAAUCUUGCUAUGAAGCUCAAAAUAAAAU
This is a non-coding RNA of Monodelphis domestica (gray short-tailed opossum), 8944 nucleotides long. The record is from RefSeq and is a predicted model, not a curated record. Lineage: Eukaryota; Metazoa; Chordata; Mammalia; Didelphimorphia; Didelphidae.